GCCUACCAUGAAGCUGGAAUUGCUAGUAAUCACAGGUCAGCAUACUGUGGUGAAUACGUUCCCGGGCCUUGUACACACCGCCCGUCACACCAUGAGAGUUGAGAAUACCCGAAGCCCAUGUCAAAGUGGUCGAAGGUAGGCUUGAUGAUUGGGGUGAAGUCGUAACAAGGUAGC
This 174-nucleotide ribosomal RNA is filed under the name uncultured bacterium. RNAcentral's name for it is "partial 16S ribosomal RNA". It matches the Rfam family "Bacterial small subunit ribosomal RNA", at positions 1314 to 1500 of the family's 1533-position model. The record is from RNAcentral.